RNAcentral lists this ribosomal RNA (301 nucleotides) under uncultured bacterium. Its description in RNAcentral is "partial 16S ribosomal RNA". It matches the Rfam family "Bacterial small subunit ribosomal RNA", at positions 509 to 807 of the family's 1533-position model. The record is from RNAcentral.
CAGUCGCCACGGUAAUACGAGGGGGGCAAGCGUUGUUCGGAAUUAUUGGACGUAAAGGGUGCGUAGGCGGUUUGGUAAGUCUUGUGUGAAAUCUUCGGGCUCAACUCGAAGUCUGCACGAGAAACUGCCGGGCUUGAGUGUGGGAGAGGUGAGUGGAAUUUCCGGUGUAGCGGUGAAAUGCGUAGAUAUCGGAAGGGACACCUGUGGCGAAAGCGGCUCACUGGACCAUAACUGACGCUGAUGCACGAAAGCUAGGGGAGCAAACAGGAUUAGAUACCCCUGUAGUCCCUGUCUCUUAUAC